RNAcentral lists this ribosomal RNA (792 nucleotides) under uncultured bacterium. RNAcentral describes it as "bacterial SSU rRNA". It matches the Rfam family "Bacterial small subunit ribosomal RNA", at positions 10 to 797 of the family's 1533-position model. The record is from RNAcentral.
AGUUUGAUCCUGGCUCAGGUUGAACGCUGGCGGCAUGCCUUACACAUGCAAGUCGAACGGCAGCGCGGACUUCGGUCUGGCGGCGAGUGGCGAACGGGUGAGUAAUACAUCGGAACGUACCCUGUUGUGGGGGAUAACUAGUCGAAAGAUUAGCUAAUACCGCAUACGACCUGAGGGUGAAAGUGGGGGACCGCAAGGCCUCACGCUGCAGGAGCGGCCGAUGUCUGAUUAGCUAGUUGGUGGGGUAAAGGCCCACCAAGGCGACGAUCAGUAGCUGGUCUGAGAGGACGAUCAGCCACACUAGGACUGAGACACGGCCCAGACUCCUACGGGAGGCAGCAGUGGGGAAUUUUGGACAAUGGGGGCAACCCUGAUCCAGCAAUGCCGCGUGUGUGAAGAAGGCCUUCGGGUUGUAAAGCACUUUUGUCCGGAAAGAAAUCGCGCUGGUUAAUACCUGGCGUGGAUGACGGUACCGGAAGAAUAAGCACCGGCUAACUACGUGCCAGCAGCCGCGGUAAUACGUAGGGUGCGAGCGUUAAUCGGAAUUACUGGGCGUAAAGCGUGCGCAGGCGGUUUUGUAAGACAGGCGUGAAAUCCCCGGGCUUAACCUGGGAAUUGCGCUUGUGACUGCAAGGCUAGAGUGCGUCAGAGGGGGGUAGAAUUCCACGUGUAGCAGUGAAAUGCGUAGAGAUGUGGAGGAAUACCGAUGGCGAAGGCAGCCCCCUGGGACGUGACUGACGCUCAUGCACGAAAGCGUGGGGAGCAAACAGGAUUAGAUACCCUGGUAGUCCA